GCCUACCAUGGUGGUAACGGGUAACGGGGUGUUAGGGCACGACACCGGAGAGGGAGCCUGAGAAACGGCUACCACAUCCAAGGAUGGCAGCAGGCGCGCAAAUUACCCAAUCCCGACACGGGGAGGUAGUGACAAUAAAUAACAAUACGGGGUUCUUUCGGAUUUCGUAAUUGGAAUGAGUACAAUUUAAAUCUCUUAACGAGGAACAACUGGAGGGCAAGUCUGGUGCCAGCAGCCGCGGUAAUUCCAGCUCCAAUAGCGUAUAUUAAAGUUGUUGCAGUUAAAAAGCUCGUAGUUGAAUUUCGGGAUCAAUACGUCGGUCGUACCUCGGUACGUACUGACGUCAUUGAUUUCUCCCUUCUGACGAACCAUGAUGCCAUUAACUUGGUGUUAUGGGAAAUCAGGACUGUUACUUUGAAAAAAUUAGAGUGUUUAAAGCAGGCUCACGCUUGAAUACAUUAGCAUGGAAUAAUGAAAUAGGACGUUCGAUCCUAUUUUGUUGGUUUUUAGGAUCAACGUAAUGAUUAAUAGGGAUAGUUGGGGGCAUUAGUAUUCAAUUGUCAGAGGUGAAAUUCUUGGAUUUAUUGAAGACUAACUACUGCGAAAGCAUUUGCCAAGGAUGUUUUCAUUAAUCAAGAACGAAAGUUAGGGGAUCGAAGACGAUCAGAUACCGUCGUAGUCUUAACCAUAAACUAUGCCGACUAGGGAUCGGAUGAUGUUAAUUAUUUAAUGACUCAUUCGGCGCCUUACG
Molecule: ribosomal RNA, 751 nt
Filed under: uncultured Glomus
Lineage: Eukaryota; Fungi; Glomeromycota; Glomeromycetes; Glomerales; Glomeraceae
Description: SSU rRNA
Rfam family: Eukaryotic small subunit ribosomal RNA
Source: RNAcentral